AUCCUGUUGACGAGUUCCAGAUGGAACGAAACGCACGUCCUGGAA
Schistosoma mansoni is the source of this 45-nucleotide non-coding RNA. Lineage: Eukaryota; Metazoa; Platyhelminthes; Trematoda; Strigeidida; Schistosomatidae. The record is from Rfam.